This 497-nucleotide ribosomal RNA is filed under the name uncultured bacterium. RNAcentral's name for it is "partial 16S ribosomal RNA". It matches the Rfam family "Bacterial small subunit ribosomal RNA", at positions 28 to 507 of the family's 1533-position model. The record is from RNAcentral.
GAUGAACGCUGGCGGCGUGCCUAAUACAUGCAAGUCGAGCGAACAGACGAGGAGCUUGCUCCUCUGACGUUAGCGGCGGACGGGUGAGUAACACGUGGAUAACCUACCUAUAAGACUGGGAUAACUUCGGGAAACCGGAGCUAAUACCGGAUAAUAUAUUGAACCGCAUGGUUCAAUAGUGAAAGACGGUUUUGCUGUCACUUAUAGAUGGAUCCGCGCCGCAUUAGCUAGUUGGUAAGGUAACGGCUUACCAAGGCAACGAUGCGUAGCCGACCUGAGAGGGUGAUCGGCCACACUGGAACUGAGACACGGUCCAGACUCCUACGGGAGGCAGCAGUAGGGAAUCGUCCGCAAUGGGCGAAAGCUUGACGGAGCAACGCCGCGUGAGUGAUGAAGGUCUUCGGAUCGUAAAACUCUGUUAUGAGGGAAGAACAAAUGUGUAAGUAACUAUGCACGUCUUGACGGUACCUAAUCAGAAAGCCACGGCUAACUACGUG